GUCGGACAAGAAUGUGAUGGUGGGAUGGAGAGGACCAUGGAAGGUCCAGCAGGGAUGGUCCUUCUUGUUCCCCGAAUCAUUCCCUAUAAGGGGCCCUGCAGGAUUUGAAGAGGAGUGACGAAAUAAAAUCCUUGAAAACCUAACUCUGGCUUAUGGUGGAAAAUCUGGAAAGGAGGAGAAGUUGCUUUGGGAAACAGACUCAUACUACUCCACUGCUUGUUCAUCAGGAUGAAAGUAAGCUGUGGCCUCUGUUUAGUAGGAAGGACUCUGAAGUCCUGGGGGAAAAUAGAAAAAGAGACAGAAGACAAGAUCAAGAAAGCAGAAGCCAGAAAUCUGUUUAUGCAAAACAGACGGGGGCAUUUUUCCUUAGACUUUUCAGAGGAGUGGCUGGUGAACCCGUAUUUAAGGUGAGUACAAAGAAUCCUGACUGGAUAACAUGCAAAUGAUCUAUUAAAAUCUUAAAACUCAAAAGGGAAUGAGAGAAUAGAAUACGAACAAUAAAUCUUGACUUUUUCUGCUCCAAUCUAGGGUUCCGCACAGCCUUCGGUGAGAACAGAAUGUAUCAAGUCCAGAUUGAGUCAAGGCUUGAAAGCAGUGGGUUUCGCUGGACAAAUCUGGGGCCGUGAUUGCCAGCAUCAGGAGCAUGCAAAACAUCCUUCCCUCCCUGGCUGUGUGACCAUACCAUUUUGGACUCACAAGUGUUACUGUCAGGGGGCAGAGUGGAGACCUCGGGGCUUGGGGGCCAGGUGAAAGAGCUGAAGCUCAGAGAGGGAACAGGACUCUUUCAAGGUCAUACUGGUAAGUGAGGGGCCCGAUUCAUAACCACUAACACUUAUGAGAUGCUGAGAUAUAGCAGCAUUCUACAUGCCUUGUCU
Molecule: long non-coding RNA, 875 nt
Filed under: Mustela putorius furo (domestic ferret)
Lineage: Eukaryota; Metazoa; Chordata; Mammalia; Carnivora; Mustelidae
Description: lncRNA (ENSMPUG00000029261.1)
Source: RNAcentral